This 132-nucleotide ribosomal RNA is filed under the name Gaeumannomyces tritici. Its description in RNAcentral is "18S ribosomal RNA". It matches the Rfam family "Eukaryotic small subunit ribosomal RNA", at positions 1703 to 1831 of the family's 1831-position model. The record is from RNAcentral. Lineage: Eukaryota; Fungi; Ascomycota; Sordariomycetes; Magnaporthales; Magnaporthaceae.
GAGGCCUCCGGACUGGCCCAGGGAGGUGGGCAACUACCACCCAGGUGCCGGAAAGUUGUACGAACUCGGUCGUUUAGAGGAAGUAAAAGUCGUAACAAGGUCUCCGUUGGUGAACCAGCGGAGGGAUCAUUA